AGUCGAACGCGUUGGCCCAAUUGAUUGAUGGUGCUUGCACCUGAUUGAUUUUGGUCGCCAACGAGUGGCGGACGGGUGAGUAACACGUAGGUAACCUGCCCAGAAGCGGGGGACAACAUUUGGAAACAGAUGCUAAUACCGCAUAACAGCGUUGUUCGCAUGAACAACGCUUAAAAGAUGGCUUCUCGCUAUCACUUCUGGAUGGACCUGCGGUGCAUUAGCUUGUUGGUGGGGUAACGGCCUACCAAGGCGAUGAUGCAUAGCCGAGUUGAGAGACUGAUCGGCCACAAUGGGACUGAGACACGGCCCAUACUCCUACGGGAGGCAGCAGUAGGGAAUCUUCCACAAUGGGCGCAAGCCUGAUGGAGCAACACCGCGUGAGUGAAGAAGGGUUUCGGCUCGUAAAGCUCUGUUGUUAAAGAAGAACACGUAUGAGAGUAACUGUUCAUACGUUGACGGUAUUUAACCAGAAAGUCACGGCUAACUACGUGCCAGCAGCCGCGGUAAUACGUAGGUGGCAAGCGUUAUCCGGAUUUAUUGGGCGUAAAGAGAGUGCAGGCGGUUUUCUAAGUCUGAUGUGAAAGCCUUCGGCUUAACCGGAGAAGUGCAUCGGAAACUGGAUAACUUGAGUGCAGAAGAGGGUAGUGGAACUCCAUGUGUAGCGGUGGAAUGCGUAGAUAUAUGGAAGAACACCAGUGGCGAAGGCGGCUACCUGGUCUGCAACUGACGCUGAGACUCGAAAGCAUGGGUAGCGAACAGGAUUAGAUACCCUGGUAGUCCAUGCCGUAAACGAUGAGUGCUAGGUGUUGGAGGGUUUCCGCCCUUCAGUGCCGGAGCUAACGCAUUAAGCACUCCGCCUGGGGAGUACGACCGCAAGGUUGAAACUCAAAGGAAUUGACGGGGGCCCGCACAAGCGGUGGAGCAUGUGGUUUAAUUCGAAGCUACGCGAAGAACCUUACCAGGUCUUGACAUCUUGCGCCAACCCUAGAGAUAGGGCGUUUCCUUCGGGAACGCAAUGACAGGUGGUGCAUGGUCGUCGUCAGCUCGUGUCGUGAGAUGUUGGGUUAAGUCCCGCAACGAGCGCAACCCUUGUUACUAGUUGCCAGCAUUAAGUUGGGCACUCUAGUGAGACUGCCGGUGACAAACCGGAGGAAGGUGGGGACGACGUCAGAUCAUCAUGCCCCUUAUGACCUGGGCUACACACGUGCUACAAUGGACGGUACAACGAGUCGCGAACUCGCGAGGGCAAGCAAAUCUCUUAAAACCGUUCUCAGUUCGGACUGCAGGCUGCAACUCGCCUGCACGAAGUCGGAAUCGCUAGUAAUCGCGGAUCAGCAUGCCGCGGUGAAUACGUUCCCGGGCCUUGUACACACCGCCCGUCACACCAUGAGAGUUUGUAACACCCAAAGUCGGCUGGGGUAACCUUUUAGGAGCCAGCCGCCUA
RNAcentral lists this ribosomal RNA (1444 nucleotides) under Limosilactobacillus fermentum. Its description in RNAcentral is "bacterial SSU rRNA". It matches the Rfam family "Bacterial small subunit ribosomal RNA". Lineage: Bacteria; Bacillati; Bacillota; Bacilli; Lactobacillales; Lactobacillaceae. The record is from RNAcentral.